AAAUUGAAGAGUUUGAUCAUGGCUCAGAUUGAACGCUGGCGGCAGGCCUAACACAUGCAAGUCGAACGGUAACACAGAGGAGCUUGCUCCUUGGGUGACGAGUGGCGGACGGGUGAGUAAUGUCUGGGAAACUGCCCGAUGGAGGGGGAUAACUACUGGAAACGGUAGCUAAUACCGCAUAACGUCGCAAGACCAAAGAGGGGGACCUUCGGGCCUCUUGCCAUCGGAUGUGCCCAGAUGGGAUUAGCUAGUAGGUGGGGUAA
Molecule: ribosomal RNA, 263 nt
Filed under: Citrobacter freundii
Lineage: Bacteria; Pseudomonadati; Pseudomonadota; Gammaproteobacteria; Enterobacterales; Enterobacteriaceae
Description: partial 16S ribosomal RNA
Rfam family: Bacterial small subunit ribosomal RNA
Source: RNAcentral